This 124-nucleotide small RNA is filed under the name Marmota monax (woodchuck). Lineage: Eukaryota; Metazoa; Chordata; Mammalia; Rodentia; Sciuridae. The record is from RNAcentral.
GCUGGGCGUGGUGGCAGACACCUGUAAUCACAGCUUCUCAGAGGCUGAGGCAGGAGGAUCACGAGUUUAAAGCCAGCCUCAGCAAAAGUGAGGUGCAAAGCAACUCAUUGAGACCCUGUCUCCA